CCUACGGGUGGCAGCAGUGGGGAAUAUUGGACAAUGGGGGGAACCCUGAUCCAGCCAUGCCGCGUGUGUGAAGAAGGCCCUCGGGCUGUAAAGCACUUUCAGUGAGGAAGAACGCCUGGUGGUUAAUACCCAUCAGGAAAGACAUCACUCACAGAAGAAGCACCGGCUAACUCCGUGCCAGCAGCCGCGGUAAUACGGAGGGUGCGAGCGUUAAUCGGAAUUACUGGGCGUAAAGCGCGCGUAGGUGGCUUGAUAAGCCGGUUGUGAAAGCCCCGGGCUCAACCUGGGAACGGCAUCCGGAACUGUCAAGCUAGAGUGCAGGAGAGGAAGGUAGAAUUCCCGGUGUAGCGGUGAAAUGCGUAGAGAUCGGGAGGAAUACCAGUGGCGAAGGCGGCCUUCUGGACUGACACUGACACUGAGGUGCGAAAGCGUGGGUAGCAAACAGGAUUAGAUACCCCAGUAGUC
This 465-nucleotide ribosomal RNA is filed under the name Vreelandella stevensii. RNAcentral describes it as "partial 16S ribosomal RNA". It matches the Rfam family "Bacterial small subunit ribosomal RNA", at positions 338 to 795 of the family's 1533-position model. Lineage: Bacteria; Pseudomonadati; Pseudomonadota; Gammaproteobacteria; Oceanospirillales; Halomonadaceae. The record is from RNAcentral.